AAGUCGUAACAAGGUUUCCGUAGGUGAACCUGCGGAAGGAUCAUUAAUGAGGUUUAUCGGUCAGUGCUGGUGUUCGCAUGAACGCAUGUGCACGGUCGUCUUCCUUCUAUCAACCCCUGUGCACUUUAUUAAAUGAGGUGGGGAUUAGAUUGGUUGGGUGAGAAGCGCGUCGCGUGGGAUUAACGUAGUAGUUGUGGGUCCACCACGCGAAAGGUUAAUCUUGUAGUGACGCGUGGGACUACCUGUUCGCGCCGUCUUCUCUCUGCUUUAUUUUUAAUACAAACCACACAUAUUAGUCUUGUCGAAUGUUCAGUCCUACGGGACGCUAAAUCAUAAUACAACUUUCAACAACGGAUCUCUUGGCUCUC
Molecule: unclassified non-coding RNA, 368 nt
Filed under: air metagenome
Description: partial contains small subunit ribosomal RNA, internal transcribed spacer 1, and 5.8S ribosomal RNA
Rfam family: Eukaryotic small subunit ribosomal RNA (bases 1-46)
Source: RNAcentral